UACGAAGGGGGCUAGCGUUGCUCGGAAUCGCUGGGCGUAAAGCGCGCGCAGGCGGUCUUCCAAGUCAGUGGUGAAAGCCCGGAGCUCAACUCCGGAACUGCCAUUGAAACUGUUAGACUUGAGGACGAGAGAGGUGAGUGGAAUUCCCAGUGUAGAGGUGAAAUUCGUAGAUAUUGGGAAGAACACCGGUGGCGAAGGCGGCUCACUGGCUCGUUUCUGACGCUCAGGCGCGACAGCGUGGGGAUCAAACAGG
RNAcentral lists this ribosomal RNA (253 nucleotides) under uncultured bacterium. RNAcentral describes it as "partial 16S ribosomal RNA". It matches the Rfam family "Bacterial small subunit ribosomal RNA", at positions 524 to 776 of the family's 1533-position model. The record is from RNAcentral.